UGGGGAAUUUUGGACAAUGGGGGCAACCCUGAUCCAGCAAUGCCGCGUGUGUGAAGAAGGCCUUCGGGUUGUAAAGCACUUUUGUCCGGAAAGAAAACGCCGUGGUUAAUACCCGUGGCGGAUGACGGUACCGGAAGAAUAAGCACCGGCUAACUACGUGCCAGCAGCCGCGGUAAUACGUAGGGUGCAAGCGUUAAUCGGAAUUACUGGGCGUAAAGCGUGCGCAGGCGGUCCGCUAAGACAGAUGUGAAAUCCCCGGGCUUAACCUGGGAACUGCAUUUGUGACUGGCGGGCUAGAGUAUGGCAGAGGGGGGUAGAAUUCCACGUGUAGCAGUGAAAUGCGUAGAGAUGUGGAGGAAUACCGAUGGCGAAGGCAGCCCCCUGGGCCAAUACUGACGCUCAUGCACGAAAGCGUGGGGAGCAAACAGGAUUCAGAUACCCUGGUAGUCCACGCCCUAACGAUGU
This 465-nucleotide ribosomal RNA is filed under the name uncultured bacterium. RNAcentral describes it as "partial 16S ribosomal RNA". It matches the Rfam family "Bacterial small subunit ribosomal RNA", at positions 355 to 812 of the family's 1533-position model. The record is from RNAcentral.